RNAcentral lists this ribosomal RNA (253 nucleotides) under uncultured bacterium. Its description in RNAcentral is "partial 16S ribosomal RNA". It matches the Rfam family "Bacterial small subunit ribosomal RNA", at positions 524 to 776 of the family's 1533-position model. The record is from RNAcentral.
UACGUAGGGUGCGAGCGUUGUCCGGAAUUACUGGGCGUAAAGAGCUCGUAGGUGGUUUGUCGCGUUGUUCGUGAAAACUCACAACUCAAUGGUGGGCGUGCGGGCGAUACGGGCAGACUGGAGUACUGCAGGGGAGACUGGAAUUCCUGGUGUAGCGGUGGAAUGCGCAGAUAUCAGGAGGAACACCGGUGGCGAAGGCGGGUCUCUGGGCCGAUACUGACGCUGAGGAGCGAAAGUGUGGGGAGCGAACAGG